UAAUUUAGCAUCAACAAGGGUCACACCUCUUAUAUAGUUAUUUGGAACAAGAAAUGAAUAAUAAUUUACCAGGAGAGACCUCAUAAUUCAAGCAUAUAGGUGGUUGGCCCCAUAUGGCCUAAACUUACAAAUAUCAAUACAUAUAAGUAAAUUUGGCCCACACAGCAUCAUUAUGUUCUUACCUCUUUCGGAUUCAUCAGGCAUCAUCACAAUAUUGACAUAUUUCUCUGAAUUCAUCGGGAUUAUCAUAAUAUCACACAUUCCUCUAGAAUUGAACCGGGCAUCAUCAUAAUAUAACAUAUUCCUCCAAAUUCACCGAGCAUCAUCAAAAUAUCACAUAUUCCUCCGAACUCGAAUCGGGCAUCAUCAUAAUAUCACAUAUUCCUUCGGACUCGAAUCGGGUAUCUUUAUAAUAUCACAUAUUCCUCCAGAUUCACUGGGCAUCAUCAUAAUAUCAUAUAUUUCUCCAGACUCAAACUGGGCAUCAUCAUACUAUCACAUAUUCAUAUAGAGUCAAACCGAGCAUCAUUAUACUAUCACAUAUUUUUCUAGAUACAACAACAUACGUCCACAUGCAUAGCCAAACCAAUAACCAAAUACUCAAGCUCACAAUACAUAAAAAAAUAGGGAUGUGGGAUAACACUUGCCAUUUUACCUUACUAAUAAGCUUCACACGUAAUGUGAGCAUCAAUAAGAGCAUGAGUAUUUACCAAACAUUCACAAUAAUCACUUAACAAGGUUAUUCAAGUCAUGAUAAUAAGAAAAUAUGAUAAUCGAGUGCAACCAUCCCAACUUCUAUACAUAUACAUAUAGCUUGGACAAUCACUACGUAUCUAGGUCGCUAAGCAUUUACUUUGUUCAAGCUUAAGGUGGGUCAAUUCCCACUUCUAAAUCCCGAGAAUACCAAGCUUACUAAAAUAUGUCUAGCAUCUACCCAAAAUUAGGCUAAGUCAUCCAUACCUCACCAUAAAGUCUUACCAAUCCUUUCUAAAUCUAUAGGGAAAGUCUCUUCAAGAAUCCUUCCUAAGUAAACCCAACACCAAGGUCAUCUCCUAUCUAGGAAUUAUAUAGGUUAAUACACUCCUACAGAUAGAGAAGUAUACCAUUCAUGUCUACUUAGGACAACUAUAGUAUUCUCACACUAUUCAUGAGACCACAAUUAAGCUAACCAAGGUCCUAAAGUAAGUGUCAAAUAUCAUACCUUACAAAUCCAUGGACUAUAACAAUUAAUAAAUCCCAAGUUCACUAAUUAAUCAACUAUCGUCUAAAUUCCCCACCCAAUCUCGCAAGAUAUUAAUGAUUAUAUUAUAAACAAGCUCAAUCUGGACCACGAGUAAGCCUAACCUACCUUGAAUCCAAGCAAAUCAUGAACCAACGAGUUUUUCCUUUCCUUUUUGAGAAGCUUUCUCUUCCACAAGCAAUGCUAUCAACAAUAUAAUCUAAUCAUUACAACAAGAAUAAAAAUACCCAUUAUAGCACCAUUGUGCCAUGGGUUUCAAAAUGACAUCAAACCUCAAGUGGGUCCUACCUUUGGAAAAUGAGUUGCUGAUACCAACCCAUAGUCUAAAUAUUAUUAGGGAGCUAAUAACCCUCAAGAAAUUUAAGUAAAUCAAUCAUAUUUUUGGAUACAAUUGAACGUCAAAGACUUAGGAUUUUUUGGUCUAGAAAUCAAGAAAUUAAUAUCAAAUUUGAAAAAAUCUUACCUUAGAUUUGUAGAAGAAAAAUUAGAUUAACACAAGUUGCUAAGCUUCUAAUCAAUCGACAAGACUCAUUUUUUCUGUCAACAAAUAUUUAUGGCUUUUAGGGUUUUGAAAAUGCUGAAAAUAUCUCAAAAAUUGGCCAAAGGGCCUUUUUAUACGAGUUCAAAUGGGUCAGUAGGGUCAAAACUUGUUUUUCACCUACCAGACUCAUUCAGACUCUGUUUUUCACAAACGAACUAUGUAACCUUACUAAAUUUGAUAUUUUAGAUACAUUGGUGAAGUUAGAUUUGCCAUCCGAGGUCAUUUAAGCUACUUGUUGGUCCCACACCCAUAUAUUUCGACUUUUGACUUUUUGACUAAUGGGUCAAAUUAGCUUGGGUGCUGUGGGAUCCGAACCAAAAGUCUACCUAUCGUAAAAUCAAUAUUACAUAGCUACUGAUGUAGUCAAAAUUUGUAUCUGAAAUUGUUUUGGUAAAGUUUUUGUUUAGAGGCCAUUUGGAAUCGACGAAGACUUCAAAUUGGAAAAGUGGUUCUAAAAACCAAACAAACUGUCAUGUAACCGACUUAUCGAUUCCACCAAGUAACUAAUGACUUGUGACGGCUAUGAAGGAGCUCUAUAAGCAAAGAUAAGCAAAACACAGCUAAUGGCCUGGAGGUUCAUUACAAAUACACACUUGAAUUUAUUUUUGGUUAGAAAUGAUAUAAAUACCAAGUUCUUUAUCAACUACAGUAUAUGAAGGACUUUGUUGAGUGUCAACGCCUUUCCUUAUGUUAUCUUCAAGAAAAUUUUUCUUGUUCCUUCAACCUUUGCUAUUGUGGAGUUAUCCAUAUAAAUCUUCUCCUCAUCUUGAGCCGAAGCAUAAGAACCAAAAAACUCCUUGUUGGCACAUAUGUAGCAUGUGGCACUGGAAUCAAUCCAUCACUCUUUAGGAUUACCCACCAAGUUACAUUCUAAGAGCAUGGAUCAUAGAUCAUCCACUUUAUUUUUUGAUUCAGCCAUGUUGGCUUGAUCCUUCUUCUUGACUUUCUUUGGGGCCCGAUAAUCUAUGGAUUUAUGGCCAGCCUUGCCAUAAUUAAAGCAAUUUUCUUUGAACUUUUUAUUUAGAGGAUUGCUUUGUUGUUCAAAUGUUUUCUUUUAUUUCUUUAAGUUAUUAGGGUCAUCUUCAUCAAGAUUUGCUCCACUAAUUACAGAAUUCCCUUUUUCAUCUACUUUGUUAUCUUCUUCAGUAUGUAACCUCACGAUGAGGCCUUCAACAGAAAUUUUCUUUUCUUUAUGCUUCUAGUAAUUUUUAAAGUCGUUCCACAAAGGUGACAACUUUUCUAUUAUAGCCACUACUUUGAAAGCCUUAUUCACAAUCAAACCUACAACAAAGAUUAUAUGAUUGUUAAAAAGAACUUUAAUAUGUUCAAGUAAGGUACUCACUAUGUUUAUACCUUCUGCUAGGAGAUCAUGGAUGAUCACUUACAGUUGUUGCACUUGAGAGAUGAUAUUCUUACGGUUUGUCAUCUUAAAUACAAGAAAUUUUGCAAGAAGAACUAUUUAGUUCCAGCAUCCCCAGUUUUAUAUCUUAAUUCCGAUGCAUCCCAUAAUUUUUUCAAGGUUUUUAGACCGCUGUACACAUUGUACAGAUACUCUUGAAGACUACUUAGUAUAUAUUUCUUACAUGAAAAGUUUGAGCCUUUUCUUGCCUGCAUUACUAUAAAACGUUCCUUGUUCGGUAUCUCUUAGGGAAAUUGUUUAACAUUUUCAAAGAUAAACCUUUAAAAACUUAGAGUCGUCAAAUAGAAGAACAUCUUUUGCUACCAACGUUUGAAAUUCACACCUGGAAACAUUUUGAAUUUUUUUGUUGGUGCCAUAGUGAGCGCGACACUCGUAUGGCUUAUUGUAGCAACAGUUGUAGUUGCUAUACUUGUCUUUUUACCAUUUUAAUGACUUUCAACAGGCAUUUUUUCUGUCACAAAAAGACAACCAAUUUAGUAUGUCAGAAGAAUACUAACUAUAAAGUUUUAAAAACUCUAAGCACCAACUUGUUUCUAGUUUAACAGUGAAGUUUUUAUGUUUUUCAAAUCGUCAAUCGAAUGAACUUUAACUUGUGGUAAAAUUUUUAUAUCUUUAAAUCACUAUUAAGUUCAAACAGAGUAGAAAUUCAAAUUCUUUAAUCUUUAGAAGCAUAAAAAUACAGAGAUUUCAAUGAAUCAGUGAAGUAUUUAUAUUCUGCAAACCAAAUUCCCAAAUUGAUUUGUCGGUUAAGUUUUUAUAUUCUAUCUGUAUUGAUUAAUCAUGUGUUUCAAGGCAUCCCUAUACAUCUAUUAUCAAAACUCAAUCCUCCUAAAGGGGUACUAAGGCAUUUACAUAGCAUCUUUGCUAUGUUUUUCCGGAAGAACACCACAGAUAAGAAGAGUAGACAUUGGGUGAGUUGGGACACUUUAUGCUUACCUAAAUUAGAAGGAGGUGUUGGUUUUAGGUCUCUUUUUGAUGUUUCUAAUGUUCUUUUUUGUAAAAUUUUAUGGAACUUGAGGAGUAGACCUUCACAAUUGGGAGCUUUUAUGACCAACAAAUAUUGCAAAAAAGCUUCAUCCAGUAUUGACCUAAUGUAGGGGAGAUUCCCCUAUAUGGAAAAAGCUAAGAUUUGACAGAGAGCUCAUAGAGCAUCAAAUUUGGUGGAAGAUUGAGAAUGGGAAUUCUAGUUUUUGGUAUGACUUUUGGACUACAAUGGGAGCAUUAUAUCACAUUAUCGCAGAUAUAGGGGAUGGGGAAAUUGAAGUUAGGAAUUUUACAACUGUAAAUAGGUGGAAUGAGCAAAGUUUGAGUAAAUUUUUCCCUAAAGAGAAUGUAGAUUUCAUCAUUAAAAACAUCUGAUCUCCAAUGCAAAUAGAUAAUCUAGAUAAAUAGUGUGGAUGCUUGAACCUAGUGGAAUUUUCUCAGUCAAGAGUGUGUGUGAGUAUACUAUACAAAAGGAUCAGAAAGAAGACAUAUUUUAAUAUUUAUGGAGUGAUAAGCUGCCUUUUAAAAUAUCUUUUUUCACUUGGAGAAUGUGGAAAUUCAGGGUGCCAGUGGAUAAAAUAGUGCAACACAUGGGUGUUAACAUGGUUUCUAGGUGUUGGUGUUGCACUAAUGGUUACUAAUGUUGCAGGUAUAUACAUUGAAGGCUUACAGUUAUCACAAGUGAUCAUUAAAUGGUGGCCAAGAAAAUGUUGUUCAAACUUAAAGCUACUUAUGAGAGCUAUAUCAUCUAUAAUUAUUUGGAACCUAUGGAAGAGAAGGAAUAGAUUAAAGCAUUGAAAUACAUCAUCAUUUACUCAUUUAGUUUUCAAGGUCAACGCUAACCUAUGAAGACUCGGGAGAAUUCUACAUCCAAAAAUACAUGAUUUCCCAAUACACUGGUAAAAUAUUAUGGUAUAUUAAGAGAACCUUAAAGCCAAACUAUUUCAUCUUCCAAUUUGCUGGAAACCACUGGAAGGAUGUCUAAAAUACAACACUGAUGGUAUAUCAAGAGGCAAUCCAUGUAGGAGCACCUGCAAUUUCUUCUUGAGGAACUUUGCAGGUGAUUUAAUAUAUGCUCAAGGGGAAAAAAUUCAGGAAAGCACAAUUCUAGAAGCAGAAGCCAUGGCAAUAAAAAAGGCUCUAGCACACUGUGUGACAAAAGGGAUUACUAAAGUUAGUCUGGAAAUGGAUUCACUAAUGAUGAUUAAAAUUCUUACAAAAAUGUGAUUACCUUGGAAUAUUAUUGGGAUCGUGGAAGCAGAACAGAAAUAUUUAGAACUAUGUCAGGUUCACAUCCAACAUGUAUACAAAAAGGGUAAUUAUUUGGUUGAUUGCUAGCCAAUUUAGCUUUUGAUAAUACAGGUAGACUUGUCUUUAAUUUCUUCUCAGAAUUACCAAGUCAUGCCAGAAGGAUUUUGAAUCUAGAUAAGCAUCAAGUGCCAAAUUUAAGAAUUCGUACUAAGGAAAUAGUUAGAUAUAAGGAUGGGUGUCAAGGAUCCGUCACAACAAUUAUAAGAUGAGUUCAAGCAUUUUUAUUUUCUUGAUGUAGAUUAGUAUUUCUAGUACCUUUGUAGAGGAACAAUUCAUUUCAAAAACCCAAUUCAUAAGGGCAUUUAUAGAUCUAAAGUCAUUGUACUUGAGCGAAGAAUUAUAGAAGACAUGAUUAUAAGUCUUGGUACAGAUUCAAACUUCUUUGAGUCGUCACAGAUGCAAGUCAAAGCUAUAGGAAAACACACAGAUAUAAAGAUAAAUAUUUGCAAAGGGAAAGCCAACUUAUACCUGGAAAAAACUCCAAAAAUCUAUUUGAAGCAGGUUGUGGUCGGUUAAUAAGAAGCUCGCCGGAAGUCUUUCGCUCCAGGAGCUCAUCACCAAACAUUUUUGUUGCUAAAAAUAUUAGUAGGAAAGCCAAGAAAUAAAAAUAAUAUGGGAAAGGAGCUUACAUUUGUUUCACAGCAGGUCAUCACUUUCCUAUUUGCUCAAAUGAUGGAAGAUGAUGGAGAGGAAUUAGCAGAGCUUCUGAUUCAUUUGCCUCUUCAUUUUCUUACUUUUUGUAUUAUUAUUUCCAAGGAAAUGUAUCGAUUGGGAUGCUCUUUUUUUUAUGGACA
Molecule: long non-coding RNA, 6290 nt
Filed under: Capsicum annuum
Lineage: Eukaryota; Viridiplantae; Streptophyta; Magnoliopsida; Solanales; Solanaceae
Description: long non-coding RNA (CANN_LNC016344)
Source: RNAcentral